GCUCGGUUAGCUCAGUUGGUCAGAGCGUCGUACUAAUAUCUCCUUCAUGGGACAUGUUAAGUAAAUGCGAAGGUCAUGAGUUCAAGCCUCAUACUGAGCA
RNAcentral lists this transfer RNA (100 nucleotides) under Hypoxylon sp. CO27-5. It matches the Rfam family "tRNA". From Rfam's summary of the family: Transfer RNA (tRNA) molecules are approximately 80 nucleotides in length. Their secondary structure includes four short double-helical elements and three loops (D, anti-codon, and T loops). Further hydrogen bonds mediate the characteristic L-shaped molecular structure. tRNAs have two regions of fundamental functional importance: the anti-codon, which is responsible for specific mRNA codon recognition, and the 3' end, to which the tRNAs corresponding amino acid is attached (by aminoacyl-tRNA synthetases). tRNAs cope with the degeneracy of the genetic code in two manners: having more than one tRNA (with a specific anti-codon) for a particular amino acid; and 'wobble' base-pairing, i.e. permitting non-standard base-pairing at the 3rd anti-codon position. The record is from Rfam by way of RNAcentral. Lineage: Eukaryota; Fungi; Ascomycota; Sordariomycetes; Xylariales; Hypoxylaceae.